AUAUCCAUAUACAUAAUAUUUCAGAAUAAUUGAUUUAUUUUGUUAUCCUCUGUAUUUUAUUUUAUGCAUUUAAAAGCAUUAUUUAGAGAAGAAACCCCGGGGUUUCCUCAGAUUGUCAAAGGGGUCCAUGACACAUGCAAAAAGGUUAAAAACUCUUGUACUAGAAGCAGAAAUGGUAGAGCAGGUCUAUGACUAUCACUCUCAGCCAUUUGGGUAGACAAGCAAAAUGGAACUUCCAGAGAUGUGGGGGGAAAGAAGCUUACUCUUCAAAGUUGGAAAGAGAAAAGAAGACCCUAUUUGUGGCUACAAAAGAGGAAGGGAGCCCAGCAAGGAAACUACCAGCAGAUGGUAAAUACAUUUUUAAUUCCUUCUGUCAUACUGUGUGGACUUGUGCACAUUUGUCCUGCUGUGUUAGGUGCCUGAAAUAGCCAGCCAUGGAACUGAGUAGCAGUUUUGCUUCUGUCUGAAAUUUGGGAAACUGUGCUAGGCUAACAGAAAUGGUAGACCUGAGAGUGAGACUAGGACAGGAUGGGUUUGCUUCCAGUUUUACUCUUCUGAAAAAUUUCAUGUGCUUCAGUUCUUAAUACAUUCAGAACUGAUUCCACAUCAUUUCUUCUCCUCCACUGUUAUGAAAGUAAAAUAAAUCAGAAUAUUUUGAAUUCUAGUCGUUUGUCAGUUAUAUUAGGAGAGUUACUUCUUUAAUGGAUUACAUCCUCAUGAUAACUGUCAGUGGUUAAGCCUUUAGAUUCAUUUAAUUAUAGAACCAAAGUCCUCUGAGGAGUGCCAUAGCCACAUGUAACAGCCCUAAGUUCAAGAUCUUACCUGACCCUCUGUUAUACUUUUUUCUUGAUAUAAUAUUUUCAUGGAAUACCACAAUCCUACUAAAAAUCAAGAAAAAUAUGGAUAUUUUGGGACAUAGCUAAUGUGAGAAUUUGUUACUCUUGGAUAAGUGUUAUAAUUCAUUACAUAUUUAUAACAAACCACAUGUGUUAUAUUAUUGUUAUGUUGCAUAUUAUGGUAUAUUUAAAAAAUAAAGUAAAUUUAAUUUAAAAAAUGAAAGCUUAAACUAAAUGUUAAAAAUCAAACAUGAUCUUGGAUAAUGCAGAGUGAAGAUUAGAAGAGUAGGCUGCUAAACAGACUUUUAUUGGCCCUACAGUAGAGUAAUUUCCCCAACACAAUAUUUGAAGCCAAUUCUUAGUAACCAAGUGCAAGGGAGAAAGUAUGAAGAUUUCAAUGUUGAAACAGCAACAACAGCACAACCAGGAUAGGUCAGAGGUAAGAGAAAGUGUGUCUACAUAAUAACUACCAAUGUUCCCUGUGGUAUUUUAAAAAGUAAGAUGCUGUGAUCUAAACCAAAAGCAUCAUAUGCAUUAUAUUUCAGAACUAAUCCUGUCUAAAUAGGUUAGUCAUUUUUACUCCAACACAAUUAUUCCUUUUAUUAAUUACAUUCAUUGCACAAACUAAGAAUAUACAAUUUUUGUCAGAUAUGAUAUUUACUCCACAUUUUAACUACCUCAGCAAUCAAUUGUGUUUAUAAAAUAGCAAUAUAUCUUUAUCUAUCUAGAUAGAUAUAGAGAGAUAGAUGCUGCCCAUAGUCUCUCAGAAAGAUUAAUAUUAUUUUUGUUUUGUUAUUUUCCACUCAGGAAUUUCAUUAUUAUAAGGAACUCUGGGCACUAUAGAAGUGUGCCCUUCUCAGCAGAGCAGAAACUGUGUUCCCAGGGAGAACUCCUACCAUACUACAAAGAGUAAAUUGGAAGUCAUAUGACACAAUAUACUCCCAUUUCUAUCCCCUUCCCCAGCUCAUCUUUCUGAGGAUUCAACAGGGGGAAAAGUCUUCUGUCUUCUUCACAUCAUAAUGAAAAGAACACCCAUAGUGCAAGUGUCCCAAAGGAAAAAGCCAAAAACAAUGUAAUCUAUUAGGAAAUCAGAAGAAACAUUAUGCUGAAUCCCCUCUUUAAAUAGAGGUCCUGAAACCCAUGAUCCUGCCCUCCAAUCAAAGGAUCCAGGAGAGGGACAGAAGGCCCUGAUGAGAUAUAUAUCCGCCUUAACAAUGGAUCAUCCUCUGGAUCAUGGAUUUGCUGGGGGAAAUCAUCAUGACUUGAACCCAAACUUACUUCUCACUCAUCCUCAUUUUGUUCCUAUUUAUGAUGAAAUUUAUAAAAUACUUAUGUCCAUAGAGUUUCUUUUUUGCAAGUCAAUAGUGUACAGAAUACAAUAUCAGCACAGAAGACAACAGUGAAGACAAUAACAAUCUGGGAAUCAAAGGAUGUGAGUUCAAUCCUAGCUCUGCCAGGAAGUCCUCCCCAAACCCUUUUCAUUCCCAUUGUUAAUUAUUUCCUAUAUUUCUUGGAUAUAGUUUGCUUUGAAUAGAUUUGAUUGUAUAUUGUCUCUCCUCCAUUAGAAUUUAAGCUCCUUGAAGGCAAGAACUGUCUUUUUGCUUUGUUGUAUAUCCUCUGCACCCAGUGCUUGGCACAAAGUUAAGUAGGUCCUUAGUAAAUAUUGAUUGAUUGAUUGAUUAACCAUAAGCAAACAUGAAAUCUCAAAGGGUCUCAGUUUCUCUUCAAAAUGAGGAUGAAUUCUAAGGACUAUUCCAGGUCUAAAUCUAUAAUCCUAUCAUAAACAAAAAGAAAAAUAAUACUAAAUGUGAUGUAAUUAUAAUUUUUGACCAAGAUUGAUGAGAAAAAAAUUGAGAAAAUGUACUUCCCUCUCUUCUUUAUAGAAGUGUAACAUUGUAUGGUUACAUAUAUUUGUCAGACACAGCUAACAUAUUGGUUAUUUUUGUAGAAUUGCUUUUCAUUUUUCUCUUUCUCUUUAAAUCUUUCCUUGAAGGUACUGCUAUGAGUGGGACCCAUUUGGAAAUAAAUGUAAUUCAAAAAAAAAAAGAUUUUCAUUAAAAAUAAGAUAAUAUUUUAAAAAUAAAACAGGCAGGAGGCAGCUGGGUGGCUCAGUGGAUUGAGAGCCAGGCCUAGAGAUGGGAGGUCCUGGGUUCAAAUCUCACCUCAGAUACUUCCUAGCCCUGCGAUCCCUGGUCACUUAACCCUCAUUGCCUAGCCCUUAAUCACUCUUCCGCCUUGGAACCAAUACACAGAAGAUGAGGGUUUAAAAAAAUAAAUAAAGAAAAUGAAAGGGGCAGCUGGGUGGCUCAGGAAAUAGAGAGCCAGGCCUAGAGACUGGAGGCCCUGGGUUCAAAUGUGCCUCAGACACUUCCUACCUUGUAAUCCUGAACAAAUCACUUAACCCCCAUUGCAUGACCUUUCCUGUUUUUCUACUUUGGAACUAAUACUUAAUAUCUAUUCCAAGGCAGGAAAAAAAAAGGUUUUUUAAAAAAUAAUGGUAAUAUGUAUAAAAAAUUAAAAAAUGCCAAUAUUCAAACAAGUUAAGCUAAAUUGAAAGCCAUUUUUUUAGUCCUUGCUUUAGAUGAGUGUGAAAUAAUAAAGGAGUCACAGAUAAUUAAUCAACCACUAGAAAAUUAAACCCAUCUGAAGCAACAGCUAAUAUGUGCAGUUUAAAAAAAAUUAAUUAAUUUGUUCCAUUCAAGUUCUUUUGUAAGGGGCCCACUUGACGUUUCAACUUCUCUGGCCAUCCCUUAGCUUGUUGAAAAUGUAAAGUGUGCACUCUCUAACUCUGGCUAGUUGCUUCAGAAGAAAUGUCUCUCCACACUAAAGGCCAAAAGGCCCUGAUCUCAUGUUCUAUUGUAGCACUUUGUGAGUCAGAACUGGAAAGAAUGAGGUUAGCUGGACCAAGAUCAGGUGUACUUUUCUUAUCUGGCCUGGAACAGCUCUAAGUUCUAAUACUUGGCAGAGGCUUGAAGAGCAGUGAUGAAACACUCCAGAAAACUAAAGAAAACACUAAAGAAUACAACCUUUGCUUUAUUCUCGCUAUAUGUUCUGUGUGGUUGCAGCCAGAAAUUCCGUUGGCUGCCUCCAUGGAAGGUGCUCUUCCUGCUUCCUGGUCUCAGGCAGCUGUUGUGUGGUAGGAGGCCAGAAACUGCUUCCCAAGAGGGUACACAGAGAAAAUUGAAUAAGAUCAAAAUUACAAUUCCCUUCAGGGGCCCAUUUGCUAUGAUUUUCCUAAAACAAACAAUCACAUGCAGCAAGCCUGCCCAAGCGAGAAAAUGGUUUUGCAUGUGUGACUUUGUGCUUCAUUGACAAUUCCACUGCUAAGACUACUCCUAUUACUAAAUAUCGUGUAAUAAGGCCAGGAAAUUCUUAAAGAUAAAAAUAAUCAUCUCUAUCUCUUUGCAGUGGUUUUUAGUACUAAAUUUGCAUUUGUAUAGGCAGAAAGACCUCCAGAGUUGGGUGACUGGCAAGUCUGAUGAAUUAGGGUACAAUGAAAAGAACACUGACUCUGGACUCAGAGAACUUGGCCUGGAUUCAAAUGCUACCUCCCUGUGACCCUUAACUGGGGCAGCUGGGUGGCACAGUGGAUUGAGUGUUAGGCCUUAUUUAUUUCCAAAUGGCUCCUACCUGCAGUUGUAUCAUGAGAGAAAUAUUUAGAGAAAGAGAAAAGUUAAAAGCAGUUCUGUGAAAAUAAGAUUCAUCUUCCUGAGUUUAAAUCUGACCUCAGACACUCACUUGCUGUGUGACCUUGGGCAAGCCAUUUAAUCUUGUUGACCUCAGUUUCCUUAACUGUAAAAUGAACUGGAGAAGGAAAUGGUAAGCCACUCCGGUAUCUUUGUCAAGAAAACUCAAAGUGGGAUCAGGAAGAGUGAGAAAUAACUGAAAUAACUGAAUAACACAUGACCCUUAAUUGCCUGUGUGAUCAUGGACAAGUCAUUAAUAUUCAUGGACCUCAGUUUCCUCAUCUGUAAAAUAAGCCCUUAUUCUCUGACCCUUUGAGAUAGUUCACUAGUUUGGAAAGAAAUUCCCAAAUACUGACAGAAUCCUUAGGUAUAUUUGAAGCAUACAUUAAUUUGGCAAAAUUAGUAAUAACAUUAAUUUUGUUUUCUGUUCUCUUUAAGUUAAUAAGUGAGUAAGAUUUUAAAUAAAAACUACAAAAAAGCAA
Long non-coding RNA from Monodelphis domestica (gray short-tailed opossum), 5004 nucleotides. RefSeq lists it as uncharacterized. NCBI's taxonomy places the organism in Eukaryota, Metazoa, Chordata, Mammalia, Didelphimorphia, Didelphidae. The record is from RefSeq and is a predicted model, not a curated record.